RNAcentral lists this unclassified non-coding RNA (207 nucleotides) under Hevea brasiliensis (rubber tree). Lineage: Eukaryota; Viridiplantae; Streptophyta; Magnoliopsida; Malpighiales; Euphorbiaceae. The record is from RNAcentral.
GAAGACCCUGAAGGUUCUGGAACUAAACACUUAUAUGAUUGUAUGCAAGGAGUCAAUUCAAUUGCUAACCGUGCUUUUGAGUCACUAUUUGAAAGACAGGCUCAAGCUGAGAAGAUAAGAUCUGUUCAAGGAACGAUUCAGAGGUUCCGAACAUUGUUUAACUUACCCAGUGCCAUUCGUGAAAGCAUUAGUAAGGGUGAAUAUGAC